ACUCUGAUAAACCUAAAGGCGCAAUGAAAGUGAAGGUCCGCCUUGCGCGGACCGAGGGAGGAUGGGUCCGNNNNNNNNNNNNNNCGGGCCCCGCACUCCCGGGGCGUCUCGUUCUCAUCGCGAGAUGAGGCGCACCCAGAGCGUACACGCUGGGACCCGAAAGAUGGUGAACUAUGCCUGGUCAGGACGAAGUCAGGGGAAACCCUGAUGGAGGUCCGUAGCGAUUCUGACGUGCAAAUCGAUCGUCGGAACUGGGUAUAGGGGCGAAAGACUAAUCGAACCAUCUAGUAGCUGGUUCCUUCCGA
This 305-nucleotide ribosomal RNA is filed under the name Onthophagus hecate. RNAcentral's name for it is "partial 28S ribosomal RNA". It matches the Rfam family "Eukaryotic large subunit ribosomal RNA", at positions 698 to 964 of the family's 3401-position model. The record is from RNAcentral. Lineage: Eukaryota; Metazoa; Arthropoda; Insecta; Coleoptera; Scarabaeidae.